GCCCGUUUAGCUCAGUCGGUAGAGCGGAAGGCUCUUAACCUUGUGGUCCUGGGUUCAAGUCCCAGGGUGGGCG
Ipomoea nil (Japanese morning glory) is the source of this 73-nucleotide transfer RNA. It matches the Rfam family "tRNA". From Rfam's summary of the family: Transfer RNA (tRNA) molecules are approximately 80 nucleotides in length. The record is from Rfam. NCBI's taxonomy places the organism in Eukaryota, Viridiplantae, Streptophyta, Magnoliopsida, Solanales, Convolvulaceae.